UACGAGGGGGGCAAGCGUUGUUCGGAAUUAUUGGGCGUAAAGGGUGCGUAGGCGGUUUGGUAAGUCUCUUGUGAAAUCUACAGGCUCAACUUGUAGACUGCAAGGGAAACUGCCGGGCUUGAGUAUGGGAGAGGUGAGUGGAAUUCCUGGUGUAGCGGUGAAAUGCGUAGAUAUCAGGAGGAACACCUGUGGCGAAAGCGGCUCACUGGACCAUAACUGACGCUGAUGCACGAAAGCUAGGGGAGCAAACAGG
RNAcentral lists this ribosomal RNA (253 nucleotides) under uncultured bacterium. Its description in RNAcentral is "partial 16S ribosomal RNA". It matches the Rfam family "Bacterial small subunit ribosomal RNA", at positions 524 to 776 of the family's 1533-position model. The record is from RNAcentral.